Long non-coding RNA from Aethalodelphis obliquidens (Pacific white-sided dolphin), 549 nucleotides. RefSeq lists it as uncharacterized. The record is from RefSeq and is a predicted model, not a curated record. Lineage: Eukaryota; Metazoa; Chordata; Mammalia; Artiodactyla; Delphinidae. The transcript has 2 exons.
CCAGAAGGAGUGCUGGAGCUGGAACAGGAGCACGGUCCCGGGGGUCAGCUCCCGCCCUGCGUCUGAGAUGAGGGAAGGGCAGUCCCGGGACACGGGCUCCAAGCGGACGAACAGAGCGAACACAACUGUUGACAAUGGGGCUUUGAUCUGCCUAAUGUCACAAGACAGCCGGGGACAAACGCCAGGCCCUGGGUGACUCCCGGUUCCCACAGGAGAUGCCCUGUGCAGGUGCAUGAAACGGCCCACGCCUCCUGCCAGCAGCUCUGGGUUCCCGGCCUGCUGCCCUGGGAAGGAAGCGGCAGGAAGAGCCCGGAGCCCAGAGAGACAGCGGCUGGAGGGACAAGGCUUCCUGAGAGCUUCCUGCUCUAGCCUCCCGAUCACUCACUUCCAAGAAGAGUCCUGCGUGGAUCACUGACCUCAGGCCCAUGAGGGACAAAAUCCCCAUCAACUUCUGUGUCCUCUGUCUUGGCCUCUGGGCGCCGUGAUACCAGCCGCGUGACGGUGAAGACACAGUUAUGUAUUAAUAAACACCACGACGCACUUGCUGGA